RNAcentral lists this small RNA (969 nucleotides) under Pan troglodytes (chimpanzee). RNAcentral describes it as "retained intron". The record is from RNAcentral. Lineage: Eukaryota; Metazoa; Chordata; Mammalia; Primates; Hominidae.
GCAGGCCCCGGGCCCUCUCGUUCCCAGCGCUGCCCUGUCUUGCGUUCCAGUGUUCCAGCUUCUGCGAGAUGACCCUCAAGGCGAGCGAGGGCGAGAGUGGGGGCAGCAUGCACACGGCGCUCUCCGACCUCUACCUGGAGCACUUGCUGCAGAAGCGUAGUCGGCCAGAGGAGCCAGUGGGGUGGGUCGCAGCCACAUUAAGAAUGCCCUGCUCAGCCAGAAUCCGGAGAAGUUUGUGUACCCUGUCCCAUGUAAGUACCUCUUAGGCACCUUGGAGGGGAGGUGACAGGCUGGUACCACUCGCCAUCUGAAAUACCAUAGUGUUAUUUUAUUAUUUUUUAAAUUAUUUUAUUUUAAAUGAUUAUUAAAACUAAACAAAAUAUGGAAAGAUAAAAAUUUGUGCCCACAAUUCCUCCACCUAACAGAAUAACUGUUUUCUUAUUGUUAUUUGUGCUGUUUGUCUACAUAACAGAAGCUAUAGUAAACAUUUUGAUACUGCCUUAAAAAUUACUAAGUAUUAAAGUUUAUACAUAUAACUUUGUCAUUUUACUUUUUAAACAUUUUCUCAUGUUCCUCUGCAAUUUGCCUAAUUCUCUUUGAGAACUAUCCCACUCUUGAUGUUCAGGCUGCCUCUCAUUUUCAUGGAAUGUCUUCUAAAUCAAAGCAGUGCCUAGGAAAGGCCCAAACGAUCUCAACAGCAGUCCUAGAUAUGGAGAAGAGUAGCGCCAGUGAUCAGGUGGAGAAUUUGAUAACUCUUCCAUUCCCAGAAGUGAUGCUGCAUGGUAUAGUUGUGUAUGUUCCCAGAAAGAAAUACGGUCAUUCCUCACUUAAUAUUGUCAAUAGGCUCUUCGAAGACUGUGACUUUAAGUGAAAUGACUUAUAACAAGAACCAGUUUUUUUACUCAUCAACAAUACAAUGAAAUGAAGUUGAACUAAACCAUGUUAGUCAAGGACCAGCUGCAUGUGAUU